This 119-nucleotide ribosomal RNA is filed under the name Pteropus alecto (black flying fox). Lineage: Eukaryota; Metazoa; Chordata; Mammalia; Chiroptera; Pteropodidae. RNAcentral also lists the same sequence under 1 other name. The record is from RNAcentral.
GUCUAUGGCCAUGCCACCCUGAACAAACCUGAUCCCGUCUGAUCUCGAAAGCUAAGCAGGGUCGGGCUUGGUUAGUACUUAAAUGGGAGACCACCUUGGAAUACCAGGUGCUGUAGGUG